Molecule: microRNA precursor, 68 nt
Filed under: Heliconius melpomene (postman butterfly)
Lineage: Eukaryota; Metazoa; Arthropoda; Insecta; Lepidoptera; Nymphalidae
Description: Hme-Mir-67-v1_pre stem-loop
Rfam family: mir-67 microRNA precursor family
Source: RNAcentral
ACUCACUCAACCUGGGUGUGAUGUGUGCACUCGUUGCUCGGCCCAUCACAACCUCCUUGAGUGAGCGA